CUGCAACCCGCCUGCAUGAAGUCGGAAUUGCUAGUAAUCGCGGAUCAGCAUGCCGCGGUGAAUACGUUCCCGGGCCUUGUACACACCGCCCGUCACACCAUGGGAGCCGGUAAUACCCGAAGUCAGUAGUCCAACCUCGUGAGGACGCUGCCGAAGGUAGGAUUGGCGACUGGGGUGAAGUCGUAACAAGGUAAC
RNAcentral lists this ribosomal RNA (195 nucleotides) under uncultured bacterium. RNAcentral's name for it is "partial 16S ribosomal RNA". It matches the Rfam family "Bacterial small subunit ribosomal RNA", at positions 1305 to 1500 of the family's 1533-position model. The record is from RNAcentral.